RNAcentral lists this ribosomal RNA (397 nucleotides) under uncultured bacterium. RNAcentral's name for it is "partial 16S ribosomal RNA". It matches the Rfam family "Bacterial small subunit ribosomal RNA", at positions 523 to 918 of the family's 1533-position model. The record is from RNAcentral.
AUACGUAGGGGGCGAGCGUUGUCCGGAAUGAUUGGGCGUAAAGGGCGCGUAGGCGGCCCGGUAAGUCUGGAGUGAAAGUCCUGUUUUUAAGAUGGGAAUUGCUUUGGAUACUGUCGGGCUUGAGUGCAGGAGAAGUAAGUGGAAUUCCCAGUGUAGCGGUGAAAUGCGUAGAGAUUGGGAGGAACACCAGUGGCGAAGGCGACUUACUGGACUGUAACUGACGCUGAGGCGCGAAAGUGUGGGGAGCAAACAGGAUUAGAUACCCUGGUAGUCCACACUGUAAACGAUGAAUGCUAGGUGUAGGGGGUAUCGACCCCUUCUGUGCCGCAGUCAACACAAUAAGCAUUCCGCCUGGGGAGUACGGCCGCAAGGUUGAAACUCAAAUGAAUUGACGGGG